GACGAACGCUGGCGGCGUGCUUAACACAUGCAAGUCGAACGGAAAGGUCCGGUUUUGGUGGGCUCGUCGGGGUACGACCGGGUGAGUUACCCGUAGGUUCCCUGUCAUUGACCUUGGGAUAAGUUAAGGCAACUGAGGCUAUUACCGCAAAGGAGCUCCUGCUGCUGGGUGGGGGUGGGAUAGUUUCGGCGGUUGGGAAUGGAAUCGCGGCGUAUGAGCUUGUUGGGUGGGUAGUGUCUUAGCAAGGCUUUGAGGGGUAGCCGGGCUGAGAGGGGAGGCGGCCACGCUGGGACUGAGAUACGGCCCAGACUCGUACGGGAGGCAGCAGUGGAGUAUGUUGCACUAUGGGCGGAAGCCUGAUGCAACAACGCCGCGUGCGGGAAGACGGCCUUCGGGUUGUAAACCGCUUUCGCCUGUGCCGAAGCGUGAGUGACGGUAAUGGGUAAAGAAGCACCGGCUAACUACGUG
Molecule: ribosomal RNA, 468 nt
Filed under: uncultured bacterium
Lineage: Bacteria
Description: partial 16S ribosomal RNA
Rfam family: Bacterial small subunit ribosomal RNA
Source: RNAcentral